GUUAACUUGGCCAAAGUUAAAUGAUUUUUAUGUAACUAAAAUAAAACUAUAAUUUUUGUGUUUGAAGUUAAAUGACAAUUAUGUAACAAAAAAUAGAAAAGUGAUUUUUGUGUUACAAACUCAAAGUUGAAUAAACACUAGUAAACUUAACGAUUAAUUAGUACAUAUACCUAACCCGUUGGUUCAGAAUAGUUAUACAUGUCCAACAAAAAUGCACCGCUUCAACAUCUCAAAUCUUUAAUACUAUAGCAACAAUAAAUCUAGUAAAAUUCCACAAAGAAAAAUCUGGAGUGUACGCAGACUUUAUCCCUGUGUUACGAAGCUAGAGUCAAACCUUUACUACGAAUAGAGAAAGACAUCACUAACGUUUAAUUCAUGACCAUUCUAAACUUAAUACUGUUUUUGCAUUGCUCUCGGCAUACAAGGUUCCUACUACAACAGGAUUAAAGGAAAAAUCAAAAUACCAAAAACACGAUUUGCUUUCUCUUACUGUACAAACAACAUUUGUUUAUUUUGCCGCAUCUGAAAGGCGCGAGCUAAAUUCUAAACCGACAAAGACGGAUCCGCCCUUGGGAUAAAAAGCAUACAGUGGCAUCAAGCUACAAAUUCAUUUCAUAUAUUUACAACUCGUAGGUUCCAUCUAAUAUCAUCAGCCACUACACAAUGGAUUAUAGUUAGAAAGCUCGCACUCCAUUAAGUGUAUAGAUUGAGAUCCAGUAGAAGUGGGAGGAUGAGAAAAGAUCGCUGAGAAAGCAUCUUGGCGAAGAUAAAAGAGUUCGACACCUGAAAACCCCGAAACAAAGCCCGUAUUCUUCCUGUCUGUCGUUUCAAGCUUCCAAAACAAGCAGAAAAACACGUUGUCGGUUCAGCAGCUCGAAAUUCAUCUCAAUAAAAUGUCAGGUCAAUCACAUGACUCAUCCUGUUAGUCGAGCAUAGCUAACGCUACCAUGACGCUACGCUGCGCCUGCACUGACGUGACUUGCAAUUCAUAUCAAUAAAAUAUCAGGUCAAUCACAUGACUCAUCCUGUUAGUCGCUAGCUGAGACAUACCACAGCAAAGUCACCAUUUGAUUUGAAUUCCCAAAGACGUAAGGGUAAACUUACCAACAUAUAUUUGAAUGGCGUUGUAUUACGUAAAUGUAUCUUCUCG
RNAcentral lists this long non-coding RNA (1150 nucleotides) under Nicotiana benthamiana. RNAcentral's name for it is "long non-coding RNA (NBEN_LNC029382)". The record is from RNAcentral. Lineage: Eukaryota; Viridiplantae; Streptophyta; Magnoliopsida; Solanales; Solanaceae.